ACUGUUUCUGUGUGUAGGCCCCACAGGGCAGCAGUGUUUUCUGGAUUUGAAAAAUUUAACAGAAAAGCUCUCAAAAAAUUGUAUUAUUUUAUCUGUCUUUUGUGGCAGUUUAUUGAAAGCUAUAAGAGGAAGCCAAAAACCACCAACAUUUUGAAUUUUUCCUUCCAAAGUCUUGAUUCCAGACCCUUGGUGGACAUUAUCUGAGUCUCGGGAUAUAGCAGGAAAUAGUUUAACCAGAGAUUUUGCUACCACUUAACAUGGGUUACUAACAUCACAAGCUAGCUCUAUCUUGGCAUUGCCUUCUCCACUGCAGCUCUUCAGCUCUGCCUAUUCAACAGUCUGGAGUCUGUAACAUCACCCUCACUUCCAUGUUCCAAAUUCCAUUAGGAUCCUUCAGGAUUCAAGGAACAAAAAUACCAGAUUCACAUUAAAAUAAUAAGGAAGUGUAUUUGGUUCAUGUACCUGCAAUAUUCAAGACUCUCUGUAUCUUUAGGACACAGCUCCAGUGUUGUGUGAUUCCCUGAGCUCUCCUUUUUCCCAUGCAUUGGCUAUUUCAUGUUAACAAAAUGGCCACAAGGAUUCCAGGCAUCUCAUUCACAUACCACCACAUCCAGAUUAAAAGAAAGAGUCUUUGUCCCAGAAUCUAAGCAAGUUCGGUCACAUGCCCACCACUGAACCAAUCACUGUGGCUUUGAUUGACUUAUUUAGGUACUACGUGCUCCAUUGCUAAAGCCAAGAACCAUGUAGGUCUGGAUGUCAGGCAUUCCUAAAAAGAGGCAGCUCUGAAGUGUCAGCUGAAACAUUAUGAGAUGUUACAUUUAGAAUGGAGAGUUGAUUUCUCAUAAAGGGUUACAGCCUGCAGAGUGGUCAUUUUGACAGGCUGGGAAACGUAGCCUCUGGUAGAAGCCAGAAGGCAGGUACAUUGAGGGAGGGGAGGAUGGAACAGGGAUUUAUGCUGAACAGGUUAGCCAAGUAUAAAUAUUUAGCAGGUUAUAAGAGUAGCUAUAAAUAUUCAUGAAGGGUGUCCUAACGCGUGUGCACUGAAUAAACAUGCAUGUUGCAUGUUCACUUUUGUGUGGAGACUUAACAUAUAAAUGCAUUACAAUUAGGCCUUGUAUGUCAAAAGGUGAAGCAGAGACACAGAGGCAUUCAAGUGCGCAGCCUCUGUAAACCAGCCAGAACCAGUCCAUGGUUGGUGGUCUUUCAUCAAGAGAAAGUUACCAAAAUCAACCUCUUGUCACAUCAGAGCUGUAGUGAUGGCUUGUGGAACAGAGGGGUGAAAUCAGGCUGCAUCUGGCAAUUGGUGAGCUGUAAUUGUUUCAAUAUUUCUUAUCUCGAGGCCAGUGCUUGUUUAGCUGCUAGAGAAAAAGAAAAAUCUUGUGGCAGGUGGAACAUAGUUUAUUCUUUAAGUACGGGGGUAUGUGACUUAACUCUUGCUUGGCGUGACCUUAGGUCUUGUUUACAAUUUAGUAUCUUAUAGCCAUAAAGAGUCCAUUUUGUCAGUCUUAUGAUCUCCAUUUUAACAUUAACACUGGUCAGUUGUUGUGUCUAAGUUGUAAAACAGAGUGGGUGCAAUGAGGUGUGUACAAGCUCCCAUUCUGUCAUGGCUAGGAACUCAGUUUUUAAGGUUUCUCUGGGGUCCCCCAGCCAAGAGGGGUCUUUUCAGUCAGUUGGGGGGCUUAGAAUUUUAGGAUUUUAUUUUUAGUUCGCAUGAGGAUAUACGACAUUUUGAAGGAAACUCUACCUGAUGCACAAGAAUCUGGGCCAUUAACUGGCUCCUAUCAGGUCCUGCCCUGUGCCCCAAGAGAUUCAGGGAGGCCGUAAAGGAAUCAAGCAACCACUAAAAGGUUAGGCAAUAUUACCAUCACUGGUGACUAUAAAUCAAAGACCCCUUUCAUUUUCUUAGCAUCAUGUAAACCUCCCGAUUCUGGUGUAAACCAAAAAGGGGAAGACAAUCCCAUAAUGCCUGAGAUGGAAUUUCCUAUAGCUUGGUGGUAUGUGGGCUGGGAUUUACAAUUAAGCUGAUAAAGAAAAUGUAACAAUGUUUUCUCGCAGCACUGAUUCCAUGAACAGAGAUUCAUGCCACUGUGUAGUCUGCAACAAAAGAAAAAAAACUUCAAAGGGUAGACAACAGCCAAAUACCGAUCAACGGCAAUGCAGGAAAGACACACACAGAGAUCCAAUAUUGGCUGGAAUGCUGACUAUAAUCACAAAGAUGUAAACAAUGGGAAACAAAUAGUGAUCCAGGUCAUGCUGUUCUUCAAUACAUGUGCUGUUCAUUUUUUCCUUUUUAAGGUAGCAAUUAUAUUAGUUCUUAGAAAGUAAACAGAGAAGUCUUGUC
RNAcentral lists this long non-coding RNA (2341 nucleotides) under Homo sapiens (human). RNAcentral's name for it is "HSALNT0378498". The record is from RNAcentral. Lineage: Eukaryota; Metazoa; Chordata; Mammalia; Primates; Hominidae.